RNAcentral lists this long non-coding RNA (730 nucleotides) under Ananas comosus (pineapple). RNAcentral's name for it is "long non-coding RNA (ACOM_LNC017156)". Lineage: Eukaryota; Viridiplantae; Streptophyta; Magnoliopsida; Poales; Bromeliaceae. The record is from RNAcentral.
AACUGGUGGUCUGGAUUCAGCGAGUUAUUAUUGCUAGCAAGUUGGAUCGUUACAUUUAGAAUCAAAGACUGAUAACUAGCCGAAAAUGUAAGACUGAUCUCAAGUGUGAUGAAUUUAUAAGUGACGUACAUAUUAGUAAUAAUAACUGGAUUUAAAUACUUUCGACUGGUGGUCUGGAUUCAACGAGUUAUUAUUACUAGCAAGUUGGAUCGUUACAUUUAGUAUCAAAGACUGAUAAUUAACUAGCCGAAAAUGUAAGAUAGAUCUCACAUUAUCUGUUGAAUCUGGGACUAUAUGUGUGAUUGGGCCGGACUGACGAGGACGCCAGGCUCUGAAAGUAAGGGGAGUAUGUAACACCACAAUAGUCCCACAUCAGAUAAUGUGGAAGAGUGUAAUGAGUUUAUAAGUGACUGACACAUUAGUAAUAAUAAGUGGGCUUAAGCAUUUUGAGUUGAACUCUAUAUCACUUAUUCUGAUACAAUGUUAUGGAGUGCAAAACAACCGUUCUCUUCAAAAACUUAAGAUACCAAGAAAAGUUUUUUUGUUUAUUUUGAGAGAGAGAUGGGUAGCAUGCUAUCCGCUUCGUUUAUUUCUUUUAGAAAUAAACUUAGCUGGAAAUAUGAAUCAGCUAUGAUUCGAACUUGGGAUUUCGGGUACCAACCAUUAAGCCUUUUGCCACUUGCGUCAGGGACGGUCGGUGAUUUGUAUUUUAUGUCCAGCAAAUUUACAU